AGAGUUGAUCCUGGCUCAGGAUGAACGCUAGCUACAGGCUUAACACAUGCAAGUCGAGGGGCAGCAUUGGAGUAGCAAUACUCAGAUGGCGACCGGCGCACGGGUGAGUAACGCGUAUGCAACCUACCUAUCAGAGGGGAAUAACCCGGCGAAAGUCGGACUAAUACCGCAUAAAACAGGGGCACCGCAUGGUGAUAUUUGUUAAAGAAAUUCGCUGAUAGAUGGGCAUGCGUUCCAUUAGGUAGUUGGUGAGGUAACGGCUCACCAAGCCGACGAUGGAUAGGGGAACUGAGAGGUUGGUCCCCCACACUGGUACUGAGACACGGACCAGACUCCUACGGGAGGCAGCAGUGAGGAAUAUUGGUCAAUGGGCGGGAGCCUGAACCAGCCAAGUCGCGUGAAGGAAGAAGGAUCUAUGGUUCGUAAACUUCUUUUGCAGGGGAAUAAAGUGCAGGACGUGUCCUGUUUUGUAUGUACCCUGAGAAUAAGGAUCGGCUAACUCCGUGCCAGCAGCGGC
Molecule: ribosomal RNA, 517 nt
Filed under: uncultured bacterium
Lineage: Bacteria
Description: bacterial SSU rRNA
Rfam family: Bacterial small subunit ribosomal RNA
Source: RNAcentral